RNAcentral lists this long non-coding RNA (1081 nucleotides) under Vulpes vulpes (red fox). RNAcentral describes it as "lncRNA (ENSVVUG00000018194.1)". Lineage: Eukaryota; Metazoa; Chordata; Mammalia; Carnivora; Canidae. The record is from RNAcentral.
GGUGUAUUGCAUUUUCCAAAGUUAGCAACAAACGGAAUCUCUGACCGACUGACCUUCUGAUCUUUGCAUGACCAGCUCUGACUAUCCUCCUGUACAGAGGUAUAGGGCCGAUGUGCCACUCUGGGAAACAUCAUCCUUCCUGCCUCCUCGAAAUCACACAUGGCCAUGCGACUUGCUGUCAGCAACACAAUCCGAGGACAAACAAUAUGUGACAGGGUCUCAUUGCUGGGUUCCAUUAUUUGCCAGUACUUCUGGAAGAUGUGGAAAUGCUGUCUCUGCAGGUCAUGUUGGACAUGUGACAGGAGCAAAAAACAGCCUUCUGUUUUCAACCACUGAAAUUUGGGAGAUGUUUGUCACUACAGCAUAUUGUAUCCUGACUGAUGCACACACACACACACUGUUCCAGGUGCUGUGCAUGGCUCAGAGGAGGUUUUUGCUUAUGGACUGAACACUGUAGACUCCAGGGUCCUUGUCCUCUCCCUGUCCUAUCUCAUGGCCUUCCCAGCAAACUCAGAGAAGCUGCUCUCAAUUCAGGGCUUACUCGGUUUUACUUUUCCAGAAGCUCUCAGUGCCAGGAGACUAUGCUGCUGACCAGAUCUAGGGCAAGAUGGGCUCGCCCCAGUUCUGGGCCAGCCCCUGGGGGCAGUGGCCUUAAGCAUCAAGGCUAUCUGGGUUUAGAACAUUAUAGCUGAGCCCACCCUAAAAAUGCUUGGUACAUUUACAUUAGCCUACAGUUGGGUAAAAUCAUCUUACACAGCGCUUAUCGAUAAUCAAGUGUGGACUGUCUCAUAUAAUUUAUUAAUUACAUAUGAUAAAGUGUUGGCUGCCUCAAUCAUUUAUUAAUUCUUCACUGACAGUGAAGAACAGAAUGGUUGUGAGGGUGUCAGCUGCUUAUCCUUCCAAUUGUCAGCUGCCACUGCCACCGCCCAGCAUCACAAGAGAGCAACAUAUUGUGGAUCGCUAACUCAGAAAAAGUUCAAGAUUCAAAAUUCAAACCAUGGUUUCUACCAAAUAUGUGUUGCUUUAGCCCCACUAUAAAGUCAAAAAAAUCAUUAAGUUGAGUCAGGCCCCUUCUGUAUUU